This 331-nucleotide ribosomal RNA is filed under the name uncultured bacterium. RNAcentral's name for it is "bacterial SSU rRNA". It matches the Rfam family "Bacterial small subunit ribosomal RNA", at positions 8 to 334 of the family's 1533-position model. The record is from RNAcentral.
AGAGUUUGAUUAUGGCUCAGGACGAACGCUGGCGGCGCGCCUAACACAUGCAAGUCGAACGAGCGAGAGAGAGCUUGCUUUCUCGAGCGAGUGGCGAACGGGUGAGUAACGCGUGAGGAACCUGCCUCAAAGAGGGGGACAACAGUUGGAAACGACUGCUAAUACCGCAUAAGCCCACAGGUCGGCAUCGACCAGAGGGAAAAGGAGCAAUCCGCUUUGAGAUGGCCUCGCGUCCGAUUAGCUAGUUGGUGAGGUAAUGGCCCACCAAGGCAACGAUCGGUAGCCGGACUGAGAGGUUGAACGGCCACAUUGGGACUGAGACACGGCCCAG